RNAcentral lists this ribosomal RNA (1346 nucleotides) under uncultured bacterium. RNAcentral describes it as "partial 16S ribosomal RNA". It matches the Rfam family "Bacterial small subunit ribosomal RNA", at positions 28 to 1381 of the family's 1533-position model. The record is from RNAcentral.
GACGAACGCUGGCGGCGUGCUUAGCACAUGCAAGUCGAACGGAAAGGCCCUGCUUUUGUGGGGUGCUCGAGUGGCGAACGGGUGAGUAACACGUGAGUAACCUGCCCUUGACUUUGGGAUAACUUCAGGAAACUGGGGCUAAUACCGGAUAGGAGCUCCUGCUGCAUGGUGGGGGUUGGAAAGUUUCGGCGGUUGGGGAUGGACUCGCGGCUUAUCAGCUUGUUGGUGGGGUAGUGGCUUACCAAGGCUUUGACGGGUAGCCGGCCUGAGAGGGUGACCGGCCACAUUGGGACUGAGAUACGGCCCAGACUCCUACGGGAGGCAGCAGUGGGGAAUAUUGCACAAUGGGCGGAAGCCUGAUGCAGCAACGCCGCGUGCGGGAUGACGGCCUUCGGGUUGUAAACCGCUUUCGCCUGUGACGAAGCGUGAGUGACAGUAAUGGGUAAAGAAGCACCGGCUAACUACGUGCCAGCAGCCGCGGUGAUACGUAGGGUGCGAGCGUUGUCCGGAUUUAUUGGGCGUAAAGGGCUCGUAGGUGGUUGAUCGCGUCGGAAGUGUAAUCUUGGGGCUUAACCCUGAGCGUGCUUUCGAUACGGGUUGACUUGAGGAAGGUAGGGGAGAAUGGAAUUCCUGGUGGAGCGGUGGAAUGCGCAGAUAUCAGGAGGAACACCAGUGGCGAAGGCGGUUCUCUGGGCCUUUCCUGACGCUGAGGAGCGAAAGCGUGGGGAGCGAACAGGCUUAGAUACCCUGGUAGUCCACGCUGUAAACGGUGGGUACUAGGUGUGGGGUCCAUUCCACGGGUUCCGUGCCGUAGCUAACGCUUUAAGUACCCCGCCUGGGGAGUACGGCCGCAAGGCUAAAACUCAAAGGAAUUGACGGGGCCCCGCACAAGCGGCGGAGCAUGCGGAUUAAUUCGAUGCAACGCGUAGAACCUUACCUGGGUUUGACAUGGAUCGGGAGUGCUCAGAGAUGGGUGUGCCUCUUUUGGGGUCGGUUCACAGGUGGUGCAUGGCUGUCGUCAGCUCGUGUCGUGAGAUGUUGGGUUAAGUCCCGCAACGAGCGCAACCCUUGUUCACUGUUGCCAGCACGUUAUGGUGGGGACUCAGUGGAGACCGCCGGGGUCAACUCGGAGGAAGGUGGGGAUGACGUCAAGUCAUCAUGCCCCUUAUGUCCAGGGCUUCACGCAUGCUACAAUGGCUGGUACAGAGAGUGGCGAGCCUGUGAGGGUGAGCGAAUCUCGGAAAGCCGGUCUCAGUUCGGAUUGGGGUCUGCAACUCGACCUCAUGAAGUCGGAGUCGCUAGUAAUCGCAGAUCAGCAACGCUGCGGUGAAUACGUUCCCGGGGCU